ACCUGUUCGCGGCGCAGACGUACGGCGUGCUGUACCCGGCCGACCGGCUCAAGGUGGACGUCAACCCGUCGGGCGUGGUGAUGGUGCGCUGCGGCGCCGUCGCCGGCCGCGGCUUCGGCCGGCCGCCGGCGCAGCGGCUGACGCCCGGCCGCCGGCUGCCGCUCGCCCCGGACGCUUCUUCUGAGGGACUGCCAUUGUCGGAGACAUAACGGAUGAGAUUCGUCGGUUGUAAGGGCGGCCGGGGAGCGGGCCGUGCCGCCGACCAUGCUGUGCUUUGUGCCUUGCCGACCGGCCGGGUGAGACGCGGGCGACCUCGCCAGAGACGGCCCGCCGUGGUGGCCAGCGUCGUCUGAGGCCCCGACGCCGGGCUGGCCGGACGUCGGCUCAGCGCUCUGCUACGGGGCCCGUCGGCCAGAACGGGCGCAGUUUCUGCUCCUGGGUCAGCCAGGCCAGAGCCGGGUCGAGGGGAGGGGGUAGUCGCUCUGGUGGUCCAUCGAGAUCACCAGCUUGAUUGUACGUAGCUAGCGAAGGAUUAUCAUGCUUCUCAUCCGCAUGUAUUGUCUAGGUGUGCUCUGCCGUUGCUCUGUCGUUUGACGUUGGCGCGUAUGACUGACGCCAGUCCACCUCCAAGAUGGUGCGCUUUGAUUGCGUUUUACGGCCCGAUUUGAGUUCACCACGAGCGGUAAAUUUCCAGAUG
Long non-coding RNA from Pollicipes pollicipes, 697 nucleotides. RefSeq lists it as uncharacterized. The transcript is spliced from 3 exons. The record is from RefSeq and is a predicted model, not a curated record. NCBI's taxonomy places the organism in Eukaryota, Metazoa, Arthropoda, Thecostraca, Pollicipedomorpha, Pollicipedidae.